RNAcentral lists this long non-coding RNA (255 nucleotides) under Mytilus galloprovincialis (Mediterranean mussel). The record is from RNAcentral. Lineage: Eukaryota; Metazoa; Mollusca; Bivalvia; Mytilida; Mytilidae.
CUAAAAAUAGGUUUCUAAAGCAGCAAUUACAUGUGGAACAGUGGUUGCCAAUCAGAGGUAUUUAUUUACCUUUGAAAAAUUAUAUACGAUUCCUUAUACAUCUAUAUACAGGAUAUAUUAAAGCUUAUUAUAGGAAGAACAAGUCACAAGAGGGUUUCAUAAGAAAUAAAAAUUAAAAUAUAAAAUCCUCCCACCCGCCCCAUUUUUUUCAAAAAUUUGGAUGAAAAUCUACUAAUUAAUUUUAGUUGGCCUAAU